GAAAAGAAACUNACCAGGAUGUCCUUAGUAACCGCCAGUGAACAGGGAAGAGCCCAGCAUCCAAGCCUGUGGUCAUUUGGCCCCUAGGCAAUGCUGUGUUCAGGUUAGCUCGCGAAGAUGCUGCUCCACCCUAAGUCCUAUAAUGAGUAAGGUUACUCGGUCAUGGCCCAAUGAGGGUGAAAGGCCCGUGGGGGUGGAGCUUCAGAAUGGCCAGUAUCUUCCUGAGCAGACCUUGGAGUCGGGUUGUUUGUGAAUGCAGCCCAAAGCGGGUGGUAAACUCCAUCCAAGGCUAAAUACUAGCACGAGUCCGAUAGCGAACAAGUACCGUGAGGGAAAGUUGAAAAGUACUUUGAAGAGAGAGUAAACAGUGCGUGAAACCGUUCAGAGGUAAACAGGUGGAGUUGAACUGCAAGCUCUGAGGAUUCAGCUGGUGAGUAUGGCAUGAGCUUGGUCAUAUUGGUUGUGUGCUCGGGUCUGCUUAGCUGCAGGUCCCCGCUUCGGUGGGGAUGCGCGAAUCAUCUCAUCCAGGUGUGUGCGCCCGGGYACUGACNGACCUGCUUGUCAGUGCACUUUNUCAGA
This 579-nucleotide ribosomal RNA is filed under the name Fasciola hepatica (liver fluke). RNAcentral's name for it is "eukaryotic LSU rRNA". It matches the Rfam family "Eukaryotic large subunit ribosomal RNA", at positions 56 to 489 of the family's 3401-position model. Lineage: Eukaryota; Metazoa; Platyhelminthes; Trematoda; Plagiorchiida; Fasciolidae. The record is from RNAcentral.